RNAcentral lists this ribosomal RNA (349 nucleotides) under uncultured bacterium. Its description in RNAcentral is "partial 16S ribosomal RNA". It matches the Rfam family "Bacterial small subunit ribosomal RNA", at positions 338 to 684 of the family's 1533-position model. The record is from RNAcentral.
CCUACGGGAGACAGCAGUGAGGAAUAUUGGUCAAUGGACGAGAGUCUGAACCAGCCAAGUAGCGUGAAGGAUGACUGCCCUAUGGGUUGUAAACUUCUUUUAUAAAGGAAUAAAACGAGGCACGUGUGCCGGUUUGCAUGUAAUUUAUGAAUAAGGAACGGCUAACUCCGUGCCAGCAGCCGCGGUAAUACGGAGGAUCCGAGCGUUAACCGGAUUUAUUGGGUUUAAAGGGAGCGUCGAUGGGUUGUUAAGGCAGUUGUUAAAGUUUGCGGCUCAACCGUCAUAUUGCCAUUGAUACUGGCAGUCUUGAGUACAGUUGAGGUAGGCGGAAUUCGUGUUGUAGCGGUGA